Molecule: long non-coding RNA, 938 nt
Filed under: Pan troglodytes (chimpanzee)
Lineage: Eukaryota; Metazoa; Chordata; Mammalia; Primates; Hominidae
Description: long non-coding RNA NONPTRT004553
Source: RNAcentral
UCAAAGAGUCCACUUUUCAAGUUGGCAUGUUUUUUGAUAGAAUUCAGUUCCUUUUGGUUGUAGAACCAAGGUCCCCACCUCCCACCCCCCCCCCUUUUUUUUUUGGUAGUUGUCGGACAGAGUUUAUUCUCAGCCCCUAAAGGCUGCUUUCAGAUUCUAUCCACAUGCCCUGCCACAGCAUGGGAACUUGGUUCUCCAAAGCCAGCAGGAGAGUCUCCCUCUAGUCUGCUAUAAUGGAUGGAGACUUAUAUAAUGUCACAUAAUCCAAGAGUUACUAUCCUUUUAUAUUUAGAGGUUCUACCCACACUGAUGCAGAAGGGAACACACAGAGUGUCCAUCAGGUGGCAGGAAUUUUAGGGGCCAUCCUAGAAUUCUGCUGACCACAGACAGGCACAAUAUAUUUAACUGACUUUCAUCUUCAAGCAAAGAGUUGUUCUCCAAAUGGCAAUUGGAAUUUGCAGCAACCUGAGUGAGGAGAGAGAUAAAUUGAAGAAUUGUUAGGCAAAAAUGAACCAGAACUUGAAGACUUGGAAAAUUACCAGCCUAUUUAUAUUGCAAAAUAAUAUCAAAGAAUUUUGGGAAGAGAACAUCAAGGAUAUUGCUGGGCUACAAAGAUCUGCUAGAAAGAUUACAGUUACCAUGGUGCUGCAACUGGCUGAACAUGCUGUUACUAUGGAAACAACAGUGUAUUUCUCCGCAUCUCAUACAUUUUGGAUAUCAUUCAAUGUGGAGGACAGCAGCUGGAACCUAAUGACACCCUGGAGGUCUCUUGGUUACUGUUUUUAGGAAACAGAAAAAAACCUGCCUCAUUCCAGGUAAAACAUAAAAAUAACACUUUAACAGAAAGUGUUCAUCCUGCCUGUAUGCUUCCCCUAAAAUGCCAUGUGAGUAACACAGAUUUAAAUAAAAUUAGGACAUAGGAAUUAACAAGUACACCC